UAAAAACCAUGGAGUCGCGUAUUCCCCACAUUCUCCUGAGACACCAUCAUGCAUCACCACCAACCUCACCACUAAUCCUCUCCACACAUAACUCCUACACUUACGACUAAAGUCUCACUUUUCUCCUUCUUGUAUGUACUUUCGAGAUGUAGUGCCUGCAAACCACCACAAACGACCACCAGAGAAAUGCAGAGGAAUCGGUGCUGAGCUGAUGCCUGGCUGGACAGCCAAUCCCGUCCCAGUAAAUUGCAGAAGAAGCCGGCAUCAGUCUCACACGUGAAAACUUUUCACUCGUCCGUUUGACCCUUUCGACACAACAAGUCUACUGCACUUCUUGCCACUAUUUGUUCUCUACCACCGGACAUUUCUACUCGUUCUUUACGAAUAACUUGGAAAAGUGCUCUUGAAGAAAGAUGCCAAAGGAACCAAAAAAUUGGUUAACUAUGAGUAAAGCAGAACAGCGGGCUUUUAUUCGUUGUCUGAAAAAUAAAGAGCGCAGAAUGAAGAAGAAGGUGGGCGCAUUGAUCAAAGUCAUGAAACUACUAGAGAAACUAAAGAAGAUUUAAGAAAACAAGUCGUAUAAUUAAAAAUGCACAUUAUAUAAUAUAAACUCCUCCACUUCUCAGUCCUUAAAUCAAUUGAAUUAUACUUGAGAAAAUCGCUGCAAAGAAAAAGAAAGAAUCUAAGAAGAAGUAAAUUUCUACUUGAAAAUUCGUAUUUACAAUUUUUUUGUUAAUUUUUUAAAUUUGAAAUUUGAAGCGAUCUUUUAUAAUAUUACGCUGAAAGCAAAUUAAAAAUCAGUCCUUAAAUCAAUUGAAUUAUACUUGUCUCCUUUAUUUAUUCACCUCUUUUGUGAUUAAUCAUCAUCAUUAACAUAAAAAAUGACUAAAAUGUAGUUUCGAUGUCAAGUAGUGGAUUAGUUGCGAGUCGGCUAUUUAUAUUUAAGUAUCUAAACUUAACUUAUGCAUGUGGCAUGAUAUUGACAUCCAUUCAUUCAUUCUUGUAACAACAACAAAUACCAAUAACUUAGAAGUUAAGAUUA
Long non-coding RNA from Folsomia candida, 1042 nucleotides. RefSeq lists it as uncharacterized. The record is from RefSeq and is a predicted model, not a curated record. The transcript has 3 exons. Lineage: Eukaryota; Metazoa; Arthropoda; Collembola; Entomobryomorpha; Isotomidae.